CAGCGCCACGAGUGGCAAUCACGUUUAUUGGGCCUAAAGCGUCCGUAGCCGGCUUAGUAAGUCUUUUGUGAAAUCGUUGUGCUCAACAUAACGCUGUGCAAAAGAGACUGCUAGACUUGGAACCGGGAAGGGUCAGAGGUAUUCUGGGGGGAGCGGUAAAAUGCUAUAAUCCCCAGAGGACCACCUGUGGCGAAGGCGUCUAACUAGAACGGCUUCGACGGUGAGGGAUGAAAGCUGGGGGAGCAAAACGGAUUAGAUACCCGAGUAGUCC
This 271-nucleotide ribosomal RNA is filed under the name uncultured archaeon. RNAcentral describes it as "partial 16S ribosomal RNA". It matches the Rfam family "Archaeal small subunit ribosomal RNA", at positions 477 to 747 of the family's 1478-position model. The record is from RNAcentral.